ACGGUUACCUUGUUACGACUUAGCCCCAGUCACCGGUUUUACCCUAGGACGCUCCUUGCGGUCACGCACUUCAGGUACCCCCGGCUUCCAUGGCUUGACGGGCGGUGUGUACAAGGCCCGGGAACGUAUUCACCGCGCCGUGGCUGAUGCGCGAUUACUAGCGAAUCCAGCUUCAUGGAGUCGAGUUGCAGACUCCAAUCCGAACUGAGACAGGUUUUCGGGUUCCGCUCUAUGUCGCCAUAUGGCUUCCCGCUGUACCUGCCAUUGUAACACGUGUGUCGCCCCGGACGUAAGGGCCGUGCUGAUUUGACGUCAUCCCCGCCUUCCUCACAGCUUGCGCCGGCAGUCUCCACAGAGUCCUCAGCUUUACCUGUUAACAACUGUAGAUGGGGGUUGCGCUCGUUAUGGCACUUAAGCCGACACCUCACGGCACGAGCUGACGACAACCAUGCAGCACCUCGUAGACUGCCCCGAAGGGAGAACGGCUUUCACCGUCUGUCAUUCUACGUUUGAGCCCGGGUAAGGUUCCUCGCGUAUCAUCGAAUUANACCACAUGUUCCUCCGCUUGUGCGGGCCCCCGUCAAUUCCUUUGAGUUUCACCGUUGCCGGCGUACUCCCCAGGUGGAAUACUUAACGCUUUCGCUGUAUCACCCAGUCAUCAUUCUG
This 666-nucleotide ribosomal RNA is filed under the name uncultured bacterium. RNAcentral describes it as "partial 16S ribosomal RNA". The record is from RNAcentral.